UACGGAGGGUGCAAACGUUUGCUCGGAAUCAUUGGGCGUAAAGCGCACGUAGGCGGCCUGUUAAGUCGGGUGUGAAAGCCCCCGGGCUCAACCUGGGAGGUGCGCUUGAUACUCGAGGGCUUGAGUGCGGGGAGAGGAGAGUGGAAUUCCCAGUGUAGAGGUGAAAUUCGUAGAUAUUGGGAAGAACACCGGUGGCGAAGGCGGCUCUCUGGACCGUAACUGACGCUGAGGCGCGAAAAGCGUGGGGAGCAAACAGG
This 257-nucleotide ribosomal RNA is filed under the name uncultured bacterium. Its description in RNAcentral is "partial 16S ribosomal RNA". It matches the Rfam family "Bacterial small subunit ribosomal RNA", at positions 524 to 776 of the family's 1533-position model. The record is from RNAcentral.